UACGGAGUGGGCUAGCGUUGUUCGGAAUUACUGGGCGUAAAGCGCACGUGGGCGGCUUUGUAAGUUAGAGGUGAAAGCCCGGGGCUCAACUCCGGAAUUGCCUUUAAGACUGCAUCGCUUGAAUUGUGGAGAGGUAAGUGGAAUUCCGAGUGUAGAGGUGAAAUUCGUAGAUAUUCGGAAGAACACCAGUGGCGAAGGCGACUUACUGGACACAUAUUGACGCUGAGGUGCGAAAGCGUGGGGAGCAAACAGG
Molecule: ribosomal RNA, 253 nt
Filed under: uncultured bacterium
Lineage: Bacteria
Description: partial 16S ribosomal RNA
Rfam family: Bacterial small subunit ribosomal RNA
Source: RNAcentral